UGCGUAGGCGGAAAAUUAAGUCAGUGGUGAAAUCCCAGAGCUCAACUCUGGAACUGCCAUUGAUACUGAUAUUCUUGAAUGUAGUUGAGGUAGGCGGAAUGUGUAAUGUAGCGGUGAAAUGCUUAGAUAUUACACAGAACACCGAUUGCGAAGGCAGCUUACUAAACUAUGAUUGACGCUGAGGCACGAAAGCGUGGGGAGCGAACAGGAUUAGAUACCCUGGUAGUCC
RNAcentral lists this ribosomal RNA (229 nucleotides) under uncultured bacterium. Its description in RNAcentral is "partial 16S ribosomal RNA". It matches the Rfam family "Bacterial small subunit ribosomal RNA", at positions 568 to 796 of the family's 1533-position model. The record is from RNAcentral.